GGUUCGAUGGUGUAGUUGGUUAUCACGUCAGUCUAACACUGUUAGUUCACUGAAGGUCUCCAGUUCAAGUCUGGGUCGAAUCA
This 83-nucleotide transfer RNA is filed under the name Curvularia kusanoi. RNAcentral describes it as "tRNA-Val". The record is from RNAcentral. RNAcentral also lists the same sequence under 5 other names. Lineage: Eukaryota; Fungi; Ascomycota; Dothideomycetes; Pleosporales; Pleosporaceae.